UACAGAGGUGGCAAGCGUUGUUCGGAAUUACUGGGCGUAAAGGGCGCGUAGGCGGCUUUUUAAGUCAGACGUGAAAUCCCCCGGCUUAACCUGGGAACUGCGUCUGAUACUGGGAAGCUUGAGUUCGGGAGAGGGAUGUAGAAUUCCAGGUGUAGCGGUGAAAUGCGUAGAUAUCUGGAGGAAUACCGGUGGCGAAGGCGGCAUCCUGGACCGGCAUUGACGCUGAGGAGCGAAAGCCAGGGGGGCAAACGGG
RNAcentral lists this ribosomal RNA (253 nucleotides) under uncultured bacterium. RNAcentral's name for it is "partial 16S ribosomal RNA". It matches the Rfam family "Bacterial small subunit ribosomal RNA", at positions 524 to 776 of the family's 1533-position model. The record is from RNAcentral.